CCUACGGGGGGCAGCAGUGAGGAAUAUUGGUCAAUGGACGAGAGUCUGAACCAGCCAAGUAGCGUGAAGGAUGACUGCCCUAUGGGUUGUAAACUUCUUUUAUAUGGGAAUAAAAUAUUCCACGUGUGGGAUUUUGUAUGUACCAUAUGAAUAAGGAUCGGCUAACUCGGUGCCAGCAGCCGCGGUAAUACGGAGGAUCCGAGCGUUAUCCGGAUUUAUUGGGUUUAAAGGGAGCGUAGGUGGAUUGUUAAGUCAGUUGUGAAAGUUUGCGGCUCAACCGUAAAAUUGCAGUUGAAACUGGCAGUCUUGAGUACAGUAGAGGUGGGCGGAAUUCGUGGUGUAGCGGUGAAAUGCUUAGAUAUCACGAAGAACUCCGAUUGCGAAGGCAGUUCACUGGACUGCAACUGACACUGAGGCUCGAAAGUGUGGGUAUCAAACAGGAUUAGAUACCCCAGUAGUC
RNAcentral lists this ribosomal RNA (460 nucleotides) under uncultured bacterium. RNAcentral's name for it is "partial 16S ribosomal RNA". It matches the Rfam family "Bacterial small subunit ribosomal RNA", at positions 338 to 795 of the family's 1533-position model. The record is from RNAcentral.